AGUGAACGCUGGCGGUAGGCCUAAAACAUGCAAGUCGAACGGCAGCACAGGUGAGCUUGCUCUCUGGGUGGCGAGUGGCGGACGGGUGAGGAAUACAUCGGAAUCUACUCUGUCGUGGGGGAUAACGUAGGGAAACUUACGCUAAUACCGCAUACGACCUAGGGGUGAAAGCAGGGGAUCUUCGGACCUUGUGCGAUUGAAUGAGCCGAUGUCGGAUUAGCUAGUUGGCGGGGUAAAGGACCACCAAGGCGACGAUCCGUAGCUGGUCUGAGAGGAUGAUCAGCCACACUGGAACUGAGACACGGUCCAGACUCCUACGGGAGGCAGCAGUGGGGAAUACUGGACACUGGGCGCAAGCCUGAUCCAGCCAUACCGCGUGGGUGAAGAAGGCCUUCGGGUUGUAAAGUCCUUUUGUUGGGAAAGAAAUCCAGCUGGCUAAUACCCGGUUGGGAUGACGGUACCCAAAGAAUAAGCACCGGCUAACUUCGUGCCAGCAGCCGCAGUAA
This 506-nucleotide ribosomal RNA is filed under the name uncultured bacterium. RNAcentral's name for it is "partial 16S ribosomal RNA". It matches the Rfam family "Bacterial small subunit ribosomal RNA", at positions 29 to 523 of the family's 1533-position model. The record is from RNAcentral.